Molecule: long non-coding RNA, 1021 nt
Organism: Centruroides sculpturatus (bark scorpion)
Lineage: Eukaryota; Metazoa; Arthropoda; Arachnida; Scorpiones; Buthidae
Exons: 4
Source: RefSeq, a predicted model, not a curated record
ACGUCUAUAAUAAUCUUCAAAAAUUGUAAACUAUUAAAGAAACAAUGGCGUAAACAUCGCUAUUAUAUAUAUAUAUAUAAGAGUGCAGAAAUUGCCAAUAUUUUAUUUUUAUCGUAUCUAACUUUAAACUCAGUGGCGGAUUUAGCACUUGAGAGGCUCCAGGCGCAAUUCAAUUUUGAGGCCUCCCUCUAAUAUUUUCACUAAUCCUAAGCUCUAAAGUACGCAAGAUUUUUACUCUGGAAAAAUUAGAAGAAUUAUAGAUAAAGAAGUGAAUUAUCAGAAGAAAUAUAAACAUAAAUGAAUUUUAUUCCAUUAAAGUUCUAUCAAUUGAAUUGGCAUUGACAGCGAAGAAUAGUGAAGGGCCUAUAUAAAGAGAGAGGAACAAGUGCAUAACAACUUAGUGCAUAGCUAGAAACUAAAUUAAGACAUUUAAGAUAGGAACUGUUUGUAAGGUGACACAAGUUGGAUCUGAGUGACUGAGCAACUUGGAGAGGCUAAUGGACAAGUGCUGUAUCCCAGCCAAGCGUGUUGUUUUUGAGGGGACGUCACAGAAAGAACAACAUAGGAGUUGCUGUAACGAAGUACACACGUGUCGCAUUGAAUCUCUCCCUAGUGUUUCCCACGGCAUGAGACAUGAAGUUCCUUAAUGGAAGCACGUGUCUCUCUUUUACUUAUUUUCUACGUAAAAAGAAGAAAUUUAAAAAGAAAAAAAAAAAUAUAAAGUACAGAAAGGAAACAGAGUAACCCUCAAAACGAUGUUUGACGAAUUGAUCUCCUUUAUUUUGUUUAACCUUCUGACAAGUAAUUUAUGCUAAUAAGUCGCCGUGAGAUCACACAGAAUCGUUUCGACGAGAGGAAGAUGCCUAAUUGCUGAAGGCUACUGUAUAAGAUGAGGAAGAGAGAUGCUUACUUUAGGAGAAAAGAGAGAGAAGUGAGAAGGAGAUGUUUGCUUUAUUCUACGAGAGAGAUAGAGAAUGUGAUGCUUACUUUGAUGGAGGAGAGUUAAGGGAAAAAGUAUUUA